GUGCCAGCCGCCGCGGUAAUACAGGGGGCGCGAGCGUUGCUCGGAAUCACUGGGCGUAAAGCGAACGCAGGCGGACCGUUAAGUCGCAUGUGAAAGCCCGGGGCUCAACCCCGGAAGUGCAUGCGAAACUGGCGGUCUUGAGUACGGGAGAGGUGGGUGGAAUUCCUGGUGUAGAGGUGAAAUUCGUAGAUAUCAGGAGGAACACCGGUGGCGAAAGCGGCCCACUGGCCCGAUACUGACGCUCAUGUUCGAAAGCGUGGGGAGCAAACAGGAUUAGAUACCCUCGUAGUCC
This 292-nucleotide ribosomal RNA is filed under the name uncultured bacterium. Its description in RNAcentral is "partial 16S ribosomal RNA". It matches the Rfam family "Bacterial small subunit ribosomal RNA", at positions 505 to 796 of the family's 1533-position model. The record is from RNAcentral.